AUGGCUCUUAGGUUUGGUCUAGUUCUUGCAAAAAAGCCGAGAUGCAAUCGUCUUGUUAUUAACUCUGAUAAUAUGGAAGUCAUUAACACGAUUAAGAAUGGAGGACAAUCUGCAGGAGCGGCGGCGGCGGUCUUCGACGAUUGCUACUUCAUGGCAUAUGAUUUUCCUCUGACUAGAUUUGAACAUUGUAAUAGGGUAGCUAAUAAGGUUGCCCAUGAACUUGCUAGGCUGACAAAAAUGUCUAUAACUAGAGAUUGGUUUGAGGAGCCUAUGAAGAAUAUUGUACCUAUUCUUAUAGACGAUGUAACCAUUAUUUCUAAUCAAUAA
This 327-nucleotide ribosomal RNA is filed under the name Triticum aestivum (bread wheat). RNAcentral's name for it is "partial small subunit ribosomal RNA". Lineage: Eukaryota; Viridiplantae; Streptophyta; Magnoliopsida; Poales; Poaceae. The record is from RNAcentral.